This 28-nucleotide non-coding RNA is filed under the name Bombyx mori (domestic silkworm). Lineage: Eukaryota; Metazoa; Arthropoda; Insecta; Lepidoptera; Bombycidae. The record is from RNAcentral.
UUACUGGCAGGAUGAUCAAUGAAAGGUA